Long non-coding RNA from Mustela erminea (ermine), 1639 nucleotides. RefSeq lists it as uncharacterized. Lineage: Eukaryota; Metazoa; Chordata; Mammalia; Carnivora; Mustelidae. The record is from RefSeq and is a predicted model, not a curated record. The transcript has 3 exons.
UCUUGGCUCUUCAGCGGGAGACUUGGAGGGUCGGCAGGACAGUUGGAAGCUCCCUGGUGGCAUUUUAAUGAAGAUUGUUAUACCUCAGAUCUCCCCCAAUGACAGCUAACCUCCCCUGCAGGGUCUGAAAUGAUCUCUAGCGCCAGCCAAGCUCACCCAUGUGAGGAGUGGGGCUGCCCUGUCUGUGGCUUUUUCCGCACACUAGGUCAGUGCUUCUCAUUUCUAGAGCAGUCUUUCCUCAGAUAUUAUGCUCUGUGAGUCUCUUUCAAUGAUUAGCAAUUGCAGUCAUGGUUUGAGAGACAGAGAUUCAUUCAGGAAGUGGAAUACACCAAGUUAUGUGCCAGUUACUGUGCUGAGGCUUGAGGACUGCAGGUACCUGAGAUCAGACUCAUCUCCAGUUUGACAAGCCCUGACAUAGUCCAGGCACCCUGAGGACAUCACAUCUCUCAGCUUUGACCAAGAGAAAACAGUGGGUUCAUUAAGUGCUUUGCCUACAACAGGAUUUCACCAUAAUGUCUGUGGACGGCUUUAUGAUUCCUGAUCCAGACUAUUCUCUGAACUGCAGAAGCCACUGAAAUGCCUCUGGAUGGGCUUCUCAUGCUCUCAUGUCCACUACCAUGGAGACUGGGAGUGGAGCAGGGGAUGCGGUUCCUUUGCAGAUUUUUUUCCAGCUGUGGCUUUCACAAACCUCAUGGAAGACUGCAAGUCUUGUCUGAUCAGCAGGCUGAAGACUUGAGCUCGUACAGUACUUAUUCAGUGGUACCGUUUGGUGUACCCAUAGCCAGAGGACUCUUUGGCUGCUCCUGGAAACCCAGAGCAGUGGCAGAGACUGAUUGAAUUAUUGGGAGGAGUUUUUACAGCCUUCAAUUAGAAAGAGCAGGUACAAAUUUGGUACCAGGAAGAAGAGCAUUGCAGCGAGAUGUCCUGGUUUUGCUGAGCCUUAACUAAGCACCCCCUGAGCUGAAGACAAGUACAGAGUUGGGUUGGCCCAGAAGGUAACGAUGCUCAGUGGUAGCAGCUUAAAACAACAAAUACAUGUUUUUUUCCACAUAGUUCCUAUGGGUCAGGAAUGUUGGAACAGCUUAGUUGGGUGGUUCUGGCUCAGCAUCUCUCAUGAGGUUGCAGUCAAACCAUUGACAGGGGCUACAGUCAUCCAAAGACUGGAAUGAGGCUGGAAGAUCCACUUCCAAGCUCAUUCAUAUCGAUCUUUGUAGAAGUGUCAGUUCCAUGUCAGAGUACUCCUCUUAUUAAAAAUGUUUUUAUUUGCUAAUUUGGAUUGGUAGUACAUUUCCAUAAAGAACAAAGGGGGUACAAGUUAAAAAAAAAAAGAAAAAUUCUCUUUCCUACUCUAUCCCCCAGAUACCCUAUUUGUCUCUGCCAAGGUACUGUGUGUUAUCAAUGUCUUACAUAUCCUCCUGGAUAUGUAUGCAUGACACAUACACAAGCAAAUACAUAUUAGUGUAAGUGUUCUUUCUCUCUUCUGUUGUUACUCAGUUUGCUGUACCUUAAUUUUUGUCACGUAACAAAAUACCUUGGCAAUCUUUCAAAUAUGUACAUAAAGAGUAUCUUCACUUUUUAUGGCUGUAUCAUAUUCCAUUACAAAGAUUAUGCUAUAAUUUAUUUAAAUAGUCACUAUUGA